This 497-nucleotide ribosomal RNA is filed under the name uncultured bacterium. RNAcentral describes it as "partial 16S ribosomal RNA". It matches the Rfam family "Bacterial small subunit ribosomal RNA", at positions 28 to 507 of the family's 1533-position model. The record is from RNAcentral.
GAUGAACGCUGGCGGCGUGCCUAAUACAUGCAAGUCGAGCGAACAGAUGAGGAGCUUGCUCCUCUGACGUUAGCGGCGGACGGGUGAGUAACACGUGGAUAACCUACCUAUAAGACUGGGAUAACUUCGGGAAACCGGAGCUAAUACCGGAUAAUAUAUUGAACCGCAUGGUUCAAUAGUGAAAGACGGUUUUGCUUUCACUUAUAGAUGGAUCCGCGCCGCAUUAGCUAGUUGGUAAGGUAACGGCUUACCAAGGCAACGAUGCGUAGCCGACCUGAGAGGGUGAUCGGCCACACUGGAACUGAGACACGGUCCAGACUCCUACGGGAGGCAGCAGUAGGGAAUCUUCCGCAAUGGGCGAAAGCCUGACGGAGCAACGCCGCGUGAGUGAUGAAGGUCUUCGGAUCGUAAAACUCUGUUAUUAGGGAAGAACAAAUGUGUAAGUAACUAUGCACGUAUUGACGGUACCUAAUCAGAAAGCCACGGCUAACUACGUG